AGUGAACGCUGGCGGUAGGCCUAACACAUGCAAGUCGAACGGCAGCACAGUAAGAGCUUGCUCUUACGGGUGGCGAGUGGCGGACGGGUGAGGAAUACAUCGGAAUCUACUUUUUCGUGGGGGAUAACGUAGGGAAACUUACGCUAAUACCGCAUACGACCUACGGGUGAAAGCAGGGGAUCUUCGGACCUUGCGCGAUUGAAUGAGCCGAUGCCGGAUUAGCUAGUUGGCGGGGUAAAGGCCCACCAAGGCGACGAUCCGUAGCUGGUCUGAGAGGAUGAUCAGCGACACUGGAACUGAGACACGGUCCAGACUCCUACGGGAGGCAGCAGUGGGGAAUAUUGGACAAUGGGCGCAAGCCUGAUCCAGCCAUACCGCGUGGGUGAAGAAGGCCUUCGGGUUGUAAAGCCCUUUUGUUGGGAAAGAAAAGCAGCAGGUUAAUACCCCGCUGUUCUGACGGUACCCAAAGAAUAAGCACCGGCUAACUUCGUG
Molecule: ribosomal RNA, 492 nt
Filed under: uncultured bacterium
Lineage: Bacteria
Description: partial 16S ribosomal RNA
Rfam family: Bacterial small subunit ribosomal RNA
Source: RNAcentral